ACGGGGGGUGCAAGCGUUGUUCGGAAUUAUUGGGCGUAAAGGGCGCGUAGGCGGCUAAGCAAGUCAGAUGUGAAAUACCUGGGCUCAACCCGGGAACUGCAUUUGAAACUGCUUAGCUUGAGUACAGGAGAGGAAAAUGGAAUUCCUGGUGUAGAGGUGAAAUUCGUAGAUAUCAGGAGGAACACCGGUGGCGAAGGCGACUUUCUGGCCUUAUACUGACGCUGAGACGCGAGAGCGUGGGUAGCAAACAG
This 251-nucleotide ribosomal RNA is filed under the name uncultured prokaryote. RNAcentral describes it as "partial 16S rRNA". It matches the Rfam family "Bacterial small subunit ribosomal RNA", at positions 525 to 775 of the family's 1533-position model. The record is from RNAcentral.